This 220-nucleotide ribosomal RNA is filed under the name uncultured Entrophospora. RNAcentral describes it as "uncultured Claroideoglomus partial small subunit ribosomal RNA". It matches the Rfam family "Eukaryotic small subunit ribosomal RNA", at positions 591 to 811 of the family's 1831-position model. The record is from RNAcentral. Lineage: Eukaryota; Fungi; Glomeromycota; Glomeromycetes; Entrophosporales; Entrophosporaceae.
CCAAUAGCGUAUAUUAAAGUUGUUGCAGUUAAAAAGCUCGUAGUUGAAUUUCGGGAUUGACACAUCGGUCGUGCUCUAAGGGGUAUGAACUGGUGUAGUCAGUUUCUCACCUUCUGGAGAACCGCGAUGUCCUUAAUUGGGUGCCGCGAGGAACCAGGACCUUUACUUUGAAAAAAUUAGAGUGUUUAAAGCAGGCAUUUUGCUUGAAUACAUUAGCAUG